UGUCUGCAUUGGUUGGAAACCAGGCAACCAAGACAGUACUGCAACAGGUACCAUGACAAUAAUCCCAAACAUUAUCUCAUAUAGUCGCGCCACAGACACAACAGUUCCCCAUAUCAUACUCUUCUGCAAAAAGGGACGUAACACUUGGGCGAUUGAAAUGAAGCCCCAACCAGUAGGAACAAAAGCCAACAGGCUGACAAAGAGAUCACCAAAUUUAAAUGCUGUGAACUGCAGUAAAGCAACAAUUACAACUAUGAAAAAGAGUACAGCAAGGAGCUGCACAAGGCGAAAGUAUAUGUGCUCCCGUGCAGCAUAUUUUUCCCGAGCAUAAGCUGUAAUAUUAAAAAAGCCAAGAGCCACCACCACAUAAAUCCAUGAAAGCAAGUAAACAGCAAUGCUUUUGCUUCCAGCAGCAAUACCCAGAUGAUAUACAAUGCCAUACUGGAAAAAGAAGAAGCGGAGGUCUAGGAUAAUUUCCAGUAUCUUUCCCCACAGACCUGUCGUUCUUAAAUGAUCCUGUUCCUCCUCCCACCAUUUCUCCCAGCUCUGGUCUGACUUCGCAAAAACACUACCACGGUACCAAAUCCAGUUCAUGAAGUCAUCAAAAUCAUACACUGUCUUUAGCCAAUCAAACCCAGAAGGAUUAAACACAAAGGGCCCCAAGAUCCAUGACACCACCAGGAACCAACUUGAUAUAGUCAGUGCUAUAUAUGUAAAAGUUCCUUUAGCAACAGGGCUGUAUGCAGCAUACACUGUAAGUAUCAAACCAAGUUCAAUUGCCUUGACAAAAUGGCUACGAGCAUAUAACCG
Molecule: unclassified non-coding RNA, 810 nt
Filed under: Hevea brasiliensis (rubber tree)
Lineage: Eukaryota; Viridiplantae; Streptophyta; Magnoliopsida; Malpighiales; Euphorbiaceae
Source: RNAcentral